AGUGAACGCUGGCGGUAGGCCUAACACAUGCAAGUCGAACGACAGCACAGUAAGCUCUUGCUCUUACGGUUGGCGGGUGGCGGACGGGUGAGGCAUACAUCGCCAUCUACUUUUUCGGGGGGGAUUACGUAGGGCAACUUACGCUAAUACCUCAUACGACCUACCGGUGAAAGCAGUGGUUCUUCGGACCUUGCGCGAUUGUAUUAGCCGAUGCCGGAUUAGCUAGUUGGCGUGGUAAAGUCCCACCAAGGCGACGAUCCGUAGCUGAUCUGAGAGGAUGAUCAGCCACACUGGAACUGAGACACGGUCCAGACUCCUACGGGAGGCAGCAGUGGGGAAUAUUGGACAAUGGGCGCAAGCCUGACGGAGCAAUGCCGCGUGGGUGAAGAAGGCCUUCGGGUCGUAAAGCCCUUUUGUUAGGAAAGAAAAGAAGCAGGUGAAUACCCCGCUGUUCUGACGGUACCCAAAGAAUAAGCAACGGCUAACUUCGUG
RNAcentral lists this ribosomal RNA (492 nucleotides) under uncultured bacterium. RNAcentral's name for it is "partial 16S ribosomal RNA". It matches the Rfam family "Bacterial small subunit ribosomal RNA", at positions 29 to 507 of the family's 1533-position model. The record is from RNAcentral.